AUUGAACGCUGGCGGCAGGCCUAACACAUGCAAGUCGAACGGUAACAGGAAGCAGCUUGCUGCUUUGCUGACGAGUGGCGGACGGGUGAGUAAUGUUUGGGAAACUGCCCGAUGGAGGGGGAUAACUACUGGAAACGGUAGCUAAUACCGCAUAACGUCGCAAGACCAAAGAGGGGGACCUUAGGGCCUCUUGCCAUCGGAUGUGCCCAGAUGGGAUUAGCUAGUAGGUGGGGUAACGGCUCACCUAGGCGACGAUCCCUAGCUGGUCUGAGAGGAUGACCAGCCACACUGGAACUGAGACACGGUCCAGACUCCUACGGGAGGCAGCAGUGGGGAAUAUUGCACAAUGGGCGCAAGCCUGAUGCAGCCAUGCCGCGUGUAUGAAGAAGGCCUUCGGGUUGUAAAGUACUUUCAGCGGGGAGGAAGAGAGUAAAGUUAAUACCUUUGCUCAUUGACGUUACCCGCAGAAGAAGCACCGGCUAACUCCGUG
Molecule: ribosomal RNA, 490 nt
Filed under: uncultured bacterium
Lineage: Bacteria
Description: partial 16S ribosomal RNA
Rfam family: Bacterial small subunit ribosomal RNA
Source: RNAcentral